RNAcentral lists this ribosomal RNA (575 nucleotides) under uncultured Bacteroidota bacterium. Its description in RNAcentral is "bacterial SSU rRNA". It matches the Rfam family "Bacterial small subunit ribosomal RNA", at positions 325 to 888 of the family's 1533-position model. The record is from RNAcentral. Lineage: Bacteria; Pseudomonadati; Bacteroidota.
CGCCCGUCCCGCCGCCCCCGCCCGCCUACGGGAGGCAGCAGUGGGGAAUCUUGCACAAUGGGGUCACCCCUGAUGCAGCCAUGCCGCGUGGAGGAAGACACCCCUAUGGGGCGUAAACUCCUUUUCUGAGAGAAGAACCCCCUGUAGGUUCAGGGUGUGACGGUAUCUCAGGAAUAAGCACCGGCUAACUCCGUGCCAGCAGCCGCGGUAAUACGGAGGGUGCAAGCGUUGUCCGGAAUCACUGGGCGUAAAGGGUGCGCAGGCGGGGCAGCAAGUCGGAGGUGAAAGCCCGUGGCUCAACCACGGAAGUGCCUUCGAAACUGUUGCUCUUGAGUCCCGGAGAGGUUGCCGGAAUUCGUGGUGUAGCGGUGAAAUGCGUAGAUAUCACGAGGAACACCAGAGGCGAAAGCGGGCAACUGGACGGGUACUGACGCUCAGGCACGAAAGCGCGGGGAGCAAACAGGAUUAGAUACCCUGGUAGUCCGCGCCGUAAACGAUGAAUGCUCGCCGUUAUUCCGCUUAAGGAAUAGUGGCUAAGCUAACGCGUUAAGCAUCCGCCUGGGAGACGUCAACCG